AUGCUGAAACAAGGGAUCAUCCAACCAAGCCGCAGCCCAUUCGCAUCUCCAGUUUUGCUAGUGCUCAAGAAAAAUGGUGAAUGGUGUUUCUGUGUUGACUAUCGCCAUUUGAAUGCCAUCACCAUCAAAAAUCGUUACCCACUGCCCGUUAUCGAUGAACUGCUCGAUGAACUGGCCGGUUCAGCUUGGUUUACCACUUUGGAUCUGCGCACUGGUUUCCAUCAGAUCCGUAUGCGUCCUGAAGAUGAAGCCAAGACUUCAUUCCGGACACACCACGGUCAUUUUGAGUUCAAGGUAAUGCUGUAUGGGGUCACCGGGGGGCCUCCCACCUUUCAGUCAGGGAUGUGCGUG
RNAcentral lists this ribosomal RNA (351 nucleotides) under Triticum aestivum (bread wheat). RNAcentral describes it as "partial small subunit ribosomal RNA". Lineage: Eukaryota; Viridiplantae; Streptophyta; Magnoliopsida; Poales; Poaceae. The record is from RNAcentral.